Molecule: long non-coding RNA, 1005 nt
Organism: Mercenaria mercenaria
Lineage: Eukaryota; Metazoa; Mollusca; Bivalvia; Venerida; Veneridae
Exons: 3
Source: RefSeq, a predicted model, not a curated record
UAACCUUUACCCUGCUAAAUUUCUAAAAUGAACUGGUCCAUCGUUCAAUUUGGACAGUACCAUCUAUUUUUCAAAGGGGUGUUCACUGAAAAUUUACUGACUGAAUAGCGAACAGUAGAUGUGCAGGCUGAUCUUGGUCUGCACUGGUCGCAAAGGCAGAAUCACUUUUCGCUACCAGGCUAAAGGUUAAUGGUUAACUAGUUGUGAAACUGAUUCAAAGUUGUUUACAUCUAAAAUGCAAGACAGUAAAUACUCAAAAUUUAUUUUGUGCAUGGGUGUACUACUGGUGUGUGGACUUAAAAUGUAGAUUAUUACAAAGUAGCUCUAAUUUGAAAUUUUUUGCUGUUAACAGGUUUCCAUGUUGUCUGCUGUUGGAAGAACAUCUCUGAGGGACUGUAAAUAGAAUCUUUAUCUUCUGCUUAUAUACAACAUUUACUCAUAGGCCUGUGGCACAAUUUCUAGUUGUACAAGGAUAUCAUGGUGUUUGAUAUGUUGAUGACAAUGAAACUAAUGACCAUGUUAACAUCAGUGGAAAAGUAAACUGGGAGAAGAAACGACAACAUCAUUUUCCAUCUUGAAGGCCUUAUACAGAAUUGCUAAGGGAACAACAAGUUUGAAAGUUCUUGCCAGUCUCUUCAAAUAUUCAUAUGACUAGGAAGGGGAACGUAGGAGUGGGAGAAGUGCCUGUGACUGAUAUGCACUGUCAGAUAGAAAUCCAGUUCAAAUGGGAAUCUGAAAUAGUGACAUAGCAGAAAUCAUGAAUUACAUACUGUAUAGUCUGCUCUAAAACACAAACAUUUAAAUUUAAAAUGUGUUAAAUGCAAAACAGUUUUACUUACAAAAUGAAUCUUUCAGUAAUUUCUAAGUGCAGCUGAAAAGGAGUGUAUAUCAAAAUCCCCUUGAUCAAAACCCCUCCACUGAAAAAUGACAGGGUGUUACAAAAUCCCCUUCACACAUUUGCAGGGGGUAUCAUAAUCCCCUCUGUGAUUAACAUUAUAGAUAUAU